Molecule: ribosomal RNA, 295 nt
Filed under: uncultured bacterium
Lineage: Bacteria
Description: partial 16S ribosomal RNA
Rfam family: Bacterial small subunit ribosomal RNA
Source: RNAcentral
GGAUUAGAUACCCUGGUAGUCCACGCCGUAAACGAUGAGUGCUAGUUGUCCGCAGGCAUGCCUGUGGGUGACGCAGCUAACGCAUUAAGCACUCCGCCUGGGGAGUACGGCCGCAAGGUUAAACCUCAAAGAAAUUGACGGGGGCCCGCACAAGCGGUGGAGCAUGUGGUUUAAUUCGAAGCAACGCGCAGAACCUUACCUACGCUUGACAUGCCCUGUUUGGUUACCGGAGACGGUUUCCUUCAUUUAGUUGGCAGGUGCACAGGUGCUGCAUGGCUGUCGUCAGCUCGUGUCG